AAGAAAGUUACUAAGGGCGUAUGGUGGAUGCCUAGGCUCUCAGAGGCGACGAAGGACGUGACAAGCUGCGAUAAGCUUUGGGGAGGCGCAAAUAGCCAUUGAUCCGAAGAUUUCCGAAUGGGGCAACCCGGAAGUGUGAAGCACUUUCACCCGCUUAUGGCGGGGGCUAACCCGGUGAACUGAAACAUCUAAGUAACCGGAGGAAAAGAAAACAAAAGUGAUUCCCUAAGUAGAGGCGAUCGAACGGGGAACAGCCCAAACCGGGUGUGUUUAGGCACAUGCGGGGUUGUAGGACUGCAAUGUGGACUCUAAAUUUGAAGUGGAAUAUUUUGGAAAGUUUAACCAAAGAGGGUGAUAGUCCCGUACACGAAAGAAUUUAGUACCUAGCAGUAUCCUGAGUACCGCGGGACACGUGAAAUCCUGUGGGAAUCUGGCUGGACCAUCAGCCAAGGCUAAAUACUACUGAGAGACCGAUAGUGAACUAGUACCGUGAGGGAAAGGUGAAAAGCACCCUAAACAAGGGAGUGAAACAGUACCUGAAACCGUACGCCUACAAGCGGUCGGAGCAUCUUAAGAUGUGACGGCGUGCCUUUUGCAUAAUGAGCCUACGAGUUACUCCUCUCUGGCAAGCUUAAAUAGUUAAGCUAUGGAAGCGAAGCGAAAGCGAGUCUGAAUAGGGCGUUAAGUCAGAGGGGGUAGACGCGAAACUUUGUGAUCUACCCAUGGCCAGGUUGAAGCGGAGGUAAGACUUCGUGGAGGACCGAACCAGUUGACGUUGAAAAGUCUUUGGAUGAGCUGUGGGUAGGGGUGAAAGGCCAAUCAAACUGAGAAAUAGCUCGUACUCCCCGAAAUGCAUUUAGGUGCAGCCUCGAGUAUGAGUCUGAUAGAGGUAGAGCUACUGAUAAGGCUAGAGGGCUUCACCGCCUAUCAACCCUUGAUAAACUCCGAAUGCUAUCAGAUCCUCCUCGGGAGUGAGGCUAUGGGUGCUAAGGUCCGUAGCCGAGAGGGAAAGAACCCGGACCAUCAGCUAAGGUCCCUAAAUAUAUGCUAAGUUGUAUAAACGUGGUCUGACUGCAGAGACAGCUAGGAUGUUGGCUUGGAAGCAGCCAUUCAUUUAAAGAGUGCGUAACAGCUCACUAGUCGAGCGGUUGGGCGUGGAUGAUAAUCGGGCAUCAAGCAUAUUACCGAAGCUAUGGGAUAUUUAUAUCGGUAGGGGAGCAUUCCAGUGGCGUAGAAGCUGUAUCGUAAGGUAUGGUGGAGCAGCUGGAAAAGAAAAUGUAGGCAUAAGUAACGAUAAUGCGGGCGAGAAACCCGCACGCCAAUAGACUAAGGUUUCCUGAUCAACGCUAAUCGGAUCAGGGUUAGUCGGGGCCUAAGGCGAACCCGAAGGGGGUAGUCGAUGGACAACUGGUUAAUAUUCCAGUACUGGCAAUAACUGCGAUGGGGUGACGAAAAAGUGACAGGCUCGCGUACUGACGGAAUAGUACGUUAAAGGGUGUAGGUAAAUGGACUGUAGGCAAAUCCGCAGACCAUGCUGAACCUGAUAGUACCGUGCGUCUUCGGACAAGCGGAUAGUAGCCGUAAUCUUGUUUCCAAGAAAACCCUCUAAGCUUCAGGUUAUUGCUACCCGUACCACAAACCGACACAGGUAGUCAAGUAGAAAAUACUAAGGCGCUCGAGUGAUUCAUGGCUAAGGAACUAGGCAAAAUGGUCCUGUAACUUCGGGAGAAAGGACGCCACUUUCGGGUGGCCGCAGUGAAAUGGCCCAAGCGACUGUUUACCAAAAACACAAGGCUUUGCUAAUUCGAAAGAAGAUGUAUAAGGCCUGACACCUGCCCGGUGCUGGAAGGUUAAGAGGGGAGCUUAUCUUCGGAGAAGGCUUGAAUCGAAGCCCCAGUAAACGGCGGCCGUAACUAUAACGGUCCUAAGGUAGCGAAAUUCCUUGUCGGGUAAGUUCCGACCUGCACGAAUGGUCGUAACGAUUUGGGCUCGACUGUCUCAGCCAUGAGCUCGGUGAAAUUGUAGUUCCGGUGAAGAU
This 2038-nucleotide ribosomal RNA is filed under the name Chloroflexia bacterium. Its description in RNAcentral is "partial 23S ribosomal RNA". It matches the Rfam family "Bacterial large subunit ribosomal RNA", at positions 1 to 2060 of the family's 2925-position model. Lineage: Bacteria; Bacillati; Chloroflexota; Chloroflexia. The record is from RNAcentral.